CUCGCUUCUCUGCCUUUUGGCUAAGAUCAAGUGUACUAUCUGUUCUUAUCAGUUUAAUAUCUGAUACGUCCUCUAUAUGAGGACUACAUAUUAAAUUGAUUUUUAGAGGGGCUUGCUCGUUUGGGGCAGUCAUGGGCUGGAGGUUAGGGAACCAGCCCUGUGACCAGAAGGU
Small nuclear RNA from Pygocentrus nattereri (red-bellied piranha), 172 nucleotides. Its record names the gene U2. It matches the Rfam family "U2 spliceosomal RNA". Rfam says of the family: U2 is a small nuclear RNA (snRNA) component of the spliceosome (involved in pre-mRNA splicing). Complementary binding between U2 snRNA (in an area lying towards the 5' end but 3' to hairpin I) and the branchpoint sequence (BPS) of the intron results the bulging out of an unpaired adenosine, on the BPS, which initiates a nucleophilic attack at the intronic 5' splice site, thus starting the first of two transesterification reactions that mediate splicing. The record is from Ensembl. NCBI's taxonomy places the organism in Eukaryota, Metazoa, Chordata, Actinopteri, Characiformes, Serrasalmidae.